RNAcentral lists this non-coding RNA (30 nucleotides) under Homo sapiens (human). The record is from RNAcentral. Lineage: Eukaryota; Metazoa; Chordata; Mammalia; Primates; Hominidae.
UGCUGCAUCUGGUGGUGUAACGGCCACAAC